This is a non-coding RNA of Camelina sativa (false flax), 479 nucleotides long. Lineage: Eukaryota; Viridiplantae; Streptophyta; Magnoliopsida; Brassicales; Brassicaceae. The record is from RefSeq and is a predicted model, not a curated record.
CUGUUUAAUCGCGUUUUUUUUUUAUUACUUAGGAACGAUUCUGGCAUUUACGGUGUACAGUUCAUUAUCCAGUCCUCAGUUAAGGGCCCUGGACAUAUUGAUUCGAGGGUGGAGUCAUUACUGAAGAACUUUGAGAGUAAACUUUACGAGAUGAGUGAUGAGGAUUUCAAUAGCAAUGUAACAGCUCUAAUAGACAUGAAGCUUGAAAAACACAAGAACUUGAAGGAGGAAUCCCGGUUUUACUGGCGAGGGAUUCAAAGUGGAACACUCAAAUUUAAAGAGGCAGAGUCAUAAUGAUUUAAAAAUAAAAACGUUGUCGUAAAUAUAGUAAAAGUAGUACUGCCAUCCUCAUAAAAAAAAAUGUUAGUUUGUAUCUUUUUUUCUUUUUUAUCUGUUAGUUUGUAUCUAUUUUCUGUUGUAAAAAUUGAUUAAUAAGUGAAUAAAUAAAAACAUCAAAGUGGAAAAUUCGUUAGUACUUA